RNAcentral lists this ribosomal RNA (216 nucleotides) under Glomeromycotina sp. RNAcentral describes it as "partial small subunit ribosomal RNA". The stretch from base 46 to 216 matches the Rfam family "Eukaryotic small subunit ribosomal RNA", at positions 692 to 864 of the family's 1831-position model. Lineage: Eukaryota; Fungi; Glomeromycota. The record is from RNAcentral.
GGGUCAGUAGGUUGGUCGUGCCACCGGUACGUACUGGUCUCACCGAUUCCUCCUUCCUGAAGAACCGUAAUGCCAUUAAUUUGGUGUUGCGGGGAAACAGGAUUGUUACUUUGAAAAAAUUAGAGUGUUUAAAGCAAGCUAACGCUUGAAUACAUUAGCAUGGAAUAAUGAAAUAGGACGAUCGAUCCUAUUUUGUUGGUUUCUAGGAUUGACGUA